This 10148-nucleotide long non-coding RNA is filed under the name Trifolium pratense (red clover). RNAcentral describes it as "long non-coding RNA (TPRA_LNC001378)". Lineage: Eukaryota; Viridiplantae; Streptophyta; Magnoliopsida; Fabales; Fabaceae. The record is from RNAcentral.
AAAAUUAAUAUCGUCAACGUUGUUUCAAUUCCGAAAGAAACCACUCCAGAGACGAAAAACGCAAACAAUGAACACGUAAUAGUAUUUGAUUAACAAAGUUCGGCCAAAUUUUGCUUAUGUCUCUGACUGCAAAGCAGCUGCAGUUCUUUUGUAUUACAAUUUUAAGCUUGGGGUUUAUAGCGUAUAACUUGUAUUUAAAUACUACAGUCUAAAUUACAAAAUUAUCCUUGAACCGUUUAUUCAUCAGUAACUAUGAGAGAUACCUAACAAGAGCACUAUAAGAAACAGAUGAUUACCUCAAGAACCACGAAGAAAGGAGCCAUCAGAAAAGCUUGAGCAAGGUUGUCCAAUAGAGCUGGUGCACGUUUCUGAUAGAAAAAUGCUACUAUAAGAUAAAUGAAUUCUGAAAAUCUAUGAAUUAUUAUGCUUUUCAAUGAUGGAACAAUCAUUUACCUCAAACACUCCAUGACCAAUAAAUUGUCCUGUCCAACAAAACAACUGAGCAGCUAACACAACCUGAAAGAUCAUAUUCAUAUAUAAUUUAGUCAAUUUUUUUUUGCAAAUUAUAACAACAUACUUUCCAUAUGCCUCAUGGCAUUCUUAAAGAUUAAAGACAUUGAUGCUUAAAGGGAAGAACUAAUCCACUUAAUUAGCACCUAACACUUAACAUGACGACAUUGUUAAUAAUUAUAAAUGAUGUAAUAAUUAAAUGUAAGAUUAUGUGUUAGUGUCGUGUUGAGUCUUGACACGUGUCCGACAUCAGACAUGCCUUCAAUCUGAAGUGUCAGUGCAGCAUUGCUACAUAUCUUAGAACCCUAUAACACCCAAAUCCCUAGCAGAUAGUAACAAUCUUCAGGGUUGCUGAACUAAGUUCAACACUUAUAAAUUCCAUCUAUUCCUAUCAGAUAGAAAAAGUGAACUUAAAAUGAUUUUUUCUAUCUAAUGAUCCAACUAUUCAACAAAAUAUUGAAACAAAAAGAAAAAGGAAUUCACAUUAUGAUUCUACCCCAUAAUACUGGAAUAUCGCUUCUUAACACAAUUUUCUUACUGACAGAUUUCACAAAUAUGCACAAGAGUUACCAACAUCAACAUGUAACUAUUAAUGAUUGAAGCAAACAGCUGAGACUAAAAAGUAACAACAACGAUGAUCGAUGAACUAUAGAAGCAUUGACAUCAACACCAUAUUAAUUAAACAUAGGAACAAUGGCAGACUUGAAUCAUAGCAGGGAUCAACUAAAAGUUUAAAACAAAUUGUGGGAAGCAGCAUUUUGGUAUUCAAAAUUGUAAGAUUCAGAUAAUGUUCCUUAACUUUGUUAAAUUAACAAUUUAUUACCUCAAAAUCGGACCCUUCAACAAAAUAUAUCUUUAAAAACUAAUAGGGAAUAGCUCCCAAUACAGAUUUGAACUCUGGUUCGUCGUAUAAGGAAUAGCUCUUUCCACAAAACUCAAACCAGUCGAUAUCAGCAAGAUUUCUUAUUUUAUAUAACAAUUGUGUGUUUCUUGAAAUUGUAUAUAGGAUGGCCAAGGUAAAAAAUGUAAUAAUAAUCUAUGUUAUAACUAACAACUCUCUAAUUACACAACUUAAAAGUAAAUUUAUAACUAUCAUAUACUCAAUCAUAAUGGGAUCAGAUAAAAAACAUAGUAUUCUAUGAAGCACGAACACCUGACACACACAGGCACGUCGACACUGCUAAUAUAAAAAACUUAGGACACCGACACCGCUACAUUUGCAUUUAAGUCAAGUAAGUUAUUUCAUUAAAAAAAUUAAAACAAUAUACAAUAGUAUUUGACCUUUAUUAAUCCAUCUACUAUCGAAAAAUUGAAAAUAUUGUAUUCAAAAUGUAAUCUCUUUAAUCCCUUGAUCAACAUUAUUGUUUCGACACAUCUUUAAUCCUAUGUCUAAGGAGAGUAGAAGUUAAGAAACUUGUCAGACAUGUGUUGUACGAGUAGACGUCUUAUAGGUGUCGGAUAUCGAUCCAAGGAGUGUUGGAGUAAAGGGAUUUUUUUUUUGACACCUGCCUGAAUUAUACUACUAUAUGUUGGACACUACGACACGCCUAAUGAGUAAUCAUAAAGGUGUCGGUGCUUCAUAAUUAAUACAACCUCCAAACAUGAGUUACACGUUACAAAAAAAUGUGUGAUGUACAACAAGCAUGAGUUUAACACAGUUACUAGCUGUCAUCGUACUUCAUUAUCAGCAUAUGCAAUUGUACCUACCUAACAUUAUUAUUGUACUUUUUUUAAUGUUCAAAAACAGUUCCAAAAUUUAUCAUCAUCAUCAUAAGAAAGAAACACAAACCGAAAGGUUCAGAAAACAGCCAGAAAUUGUACUUUUUUAUCUGAUGUUGGCAAAAACUGUACUAUAUUUAUACUCCCUCCGUCCCAAAAAGNNNNNNNNNNNNNNNNNNNNNNNNNNNNNNNNNNNNNNNNNNNNNNNNNNNNNNNNNNNNNNNNNNNNNNNNNNNNNNNNNNNNNNNNNNNNNNNNNNNNNNNNNNNNNNNNNNNNNNNNNNNNNNNNNNNNNNNNNNNNNNNNNNNNNNNNNNNNNNNNNNNNNNNNNNNNNNNNNNNNNNNNNNNNNNNNNNNNNNNNNNNNNNNNNGAAAAACAGUUCCAAAAUUUAUCAUCAUCAUCAUCAUAAGAAAGAAACACAAACCGAAAGGUUCAGAAAACAGCCAGACACAUUUCACAUUAAUCUCUAAAUAAUUGGAAUUAAUUAGCUGAAAAUCACUAAUUAGAAAGAAAAAAAUUGUAUGCAUAUGUAAUUGUACAUCACUUUUUAACUGUACUAUAUUUAUAGUAAACAAAAAUUGUACUUUUUUAUCUGAUGUUGGCAAAAACUGUACUAUAUUUAUAGUAAACAAAAACUGUCAAAUACCUCCUAAAAUUUUAAAAUUCGUCAAAUACUCCUGAAACUUGAAAAUAGGCAAAUAUCCCUGAAAUUUGAAAAAGUCAAUAAAAUUGCCCCUGAUUGGUAGUGCAAGUGUCGGGGACAGUUUGAUUGACUUUUUAAAAUUUCAAGUAUUUUCUUAUUUCCAAAUUUCUUCAGAAAUAUUUGAGGAAUUUUAAAAUUUUAGGGGUAUUUGACAGUUUAGUAGUUGGCAAACAUUUCCAAAUUUAGCUUAUAAGAAACAAAUCAAAGGUUCAGAAAAAGUCAAAUUAAGUUUCACAACAAUCACGUUAACCUCAACAUAACUAAAAUUAAUUAACUAAAAAUCACUAAUUAAAAACCAAAUUUCAUUACCAGCUAUAAAAAUAAAUAUCAGAACUAUAUAAAAUAAAUAAAUAAUGAAAGUACCUUCCAAGCGAUAUCGUAGCCGAUGAAAUUAGCUACGAAACUUGAAGAAACCCAACAAAUCAAAGUAAGAACCGCAGCAAAAGAACCGGAUUUAAAAUCCAAAGCAGCAUAGAAAAGACCGUAGAAAACAGCCAAAACAAAACCAAAGUUGAAAACAAGAACAGAUGGAACGAAAUUAAGGAGUGUUUGGGAAGGUGAAAAAAUAGGAGGUGUAAAAUAGAGAAAAAGAAGUGCUGUGAAGAGAAUUGGCCAAACAAAGAUUAUAUGAAUUAUUAUGUUUGUAGGGUUGCUAUGAUAAGCACCGUAGAAAGAAAAGUGCUUUUCCAGAUCUAAUAAACCCAUUUCUUUUUUUUUUUUUUAAGUGAAGCAAAGUUUUUCUAUAAUGUUGUUAUUUUUUUUGUGUGUAUUGUUUUUGUGAACAUUUAUUUAUUUAUAUACUAUUUGAUUCAUUCAUAUGGCAUGUGAUGAUGUAGUCAUUUUUGCACACGUAUUUCUAACAAAAUUUAAUGAAUUCAAACCGUGUCAAAGUUUUCUACUGUUUUGUUUUUUUGGUAAAAAUAGUAAAUAAGUUUGUUUUUUGGAAAAACUUUUAGGAGAGACAUCCUAAUCUAUUAUUGUCAAAGUUUUAGUACAUCUUAAUCCAUUAAGAAAUUAUUAUACUGAUAUAUAAAUUUAUUGUUGCUUUUUCUUUUUUGACAUAAAAUUUAUUGCUUUUGUUUUUAGAAAUGAAAUUUAUUGCUUUUUAAAAAUAGUAUUUGUUUAUUUUUUAUGAUAAGAAAAUAGUAAUUGUUAAAUUAUUGGCAAAGAAUUAUAUUUGUUAAGUAUUAAUUUUAGUUGAAGUGUAUAUUAUAUUUUUUUAAUAAUAAAAUCAUUAAAAAUAUAUUUUAUUAAUGUUUUCAUAAUGUAAUAAUUCAUUUUAAAGAUAUUAUCAUUUUUAUCAAUUCAUUAUUUGGAAAUGGUUAUAACUCUCUAGUAGUGAAGUAUUUGUAUCGUAAAGCCAAUAAAUGUGAAGAGGUGUUAGUGAAUUUGAGUUGUUUUAUGAAUGGAGACAUUGUUUUUUAUUAGAGAUUUGUCCAAGUCAAGUUAGUCAGUCACUUGUUAGCACCUUCUGUUAUAGAGGUUGAGAUCCCUCGGUCGAUUUUGGUGCAGUUUUCUUUUUUGAACUUAGACCCUCUAUAUAAUAAGAAGUGAAAUUUUAUUAAAAUAUUCAUAUAAAAAAAUUAUUAAGAAAAUAAAUAUUUUAUUUAAAGAAGACCUCAUAUGGACUAAAGAAUCCCUCUCUGUAUGGCUUGGAAGAUUUACAAAGGCAAUUGUUUGCUUGGGCUAUAAGAAAAGCCAAGGAUAUUACACUUUUAACGGAAAGACAACUACUCAAAGAGAAGAUAUCAGUUGAGUUUGAGAUGAAAGACAUUAAACUACUUAAGUUUUUCUUGGGAAUUGAGGUUGCAUACUCAAAGUAAUGAAUAUUUAUCUCUUAGAGAAAGUAUCUACUCGAACUUUUGUAAGAAACAAGCAAGCUUGGAUGCAAACCUGCGAGUGUUCCUUUUGAACAAAAUCACAAGAUGAGCUACAAGGAGGAAAGUGCCAAAGUUGACAAGGUUCGGUAUCAAAGGCUAGUUGGAAAUUUGAUUUACUUGGCACACACUAGGCUAGAUUUGGCGUAUGCAAUCAAUAUGGUGAGUCGAUUCAUGCACGAUUUAAGAGUGAGACACUUACAAGUUGUAAACAAUGUUCUACAAUAUCUCAAACCCACUCCAGAUAGACGACUCUGGUUUAAAACCGGUGGAAGCCUAACUAUGGAGGUUCAGUGAGUGAUGGAAGAUCUACUUUACACUUUAGUACCUUCUUGUGUGGGAACAUUGUUGCGCGGAGGAGCAAGAAGCAAAAUGUAGUUGCUCGAUCAAAUGCUAAGACAAUAAAUUUGUGAACUAUUAUGAAUGAAACUUGUGCUAGAAGAUUUAAAGAUAAAGUAUGAAGCCAUAUGAAGUUGUUUUGUGACAAUAAAUCAGCCAUCAUUACAUUAUUAUUGAAAUGCAUUAAAACUUUUUUUCUACUGCAAAUAUAUCAAAUUUUGCUUUUGGUACUUAAUAUUUUGUGUCAAACCCUGCAAAUAUAUUGAUUUAUGUUUCUGUUUCCAGAGGAAUGAUCUAUAACAAUAACAUUUAUAAACAAGUUUUUCAACCUAAGAAAUUUUCUUUUGUCCCUUGUCCUGCCAUUCUUUGAUGUUAGCUUCUAUCCUUGCCUUCACCUUUGUCUGAAAUCCAGGAUAUGGUUCAUAUCCAAUGGUUGAUUGAAGGAUCUACAAAACAAAUCAAUAUAGUUUAUCUAGUUUCAAUUUUGAAAGAAACAAGUUCAGUUCAGAGCACAAUGACAAACAAAUUACCUCGAGAAUCACUAAGAAAGGUUCGAUUACAAGAACAUGAGCAAGGUUUUCCAAUACUGGUGCAUGUUUCUGACAGAAAAAAUGAUAGAACAUAAAUGAAAUGUGAAAAUCUAUGCAUCAUGCUAGUCAGUGAUGGAACAAUCAUUUACCUCCUCAAACGCCGCAUGUCCAAUAGACCCUCCAAUUAAACCAAUCAACUGAGUAGCCAACACAACCUGUAAGAUUAUAGUCAUAAUUUAAGUCACCAUUCUUUACAAAAUAUAACUACACACUAGCUCUAUCCCUUGUUAUAAACAAACAUUGCAUUUAUCUAACAACCAAUAAGGAUAAGCUACAUAAGUAGAUUUGUAUGUGAUAUCCACAAACUAACGUUUAGUUCACAUGUAAAUCUACAUAUGUGCCUUGUUAUGAUUGGUUGGGUAAAUGCCCUCAAUUAUGUUCACCGCAUAACCAAACAAGUGCAAAUUGUUAACCCUCCAAUUUUUAACAAAAGAGAAUAUGUAUAAGUUCAAUGGACAGGUCUAACAAAAAAUUGCGAGUAAACCACUAAAUUGGUCAUUGUCUCUGUAAGUCGCAUUCAAAGAGGUCUCUGACUCUUCCAAUAUCUCAAAUUAGUCAUUGUCUCUGUCUAACGUUUCUCAAUUUGGUCUUUGUGUGAACAUCUGGUUCACUUAAUGUCAAAUAAUUUUCUAUCUUUAUCCACUUCCUAUCAAAAUAUCAAAAUAGUCCCUAACAUUUUCUACUUGCUCUCACAUUAUUCCAUGUCUUUACCAAUUUUUUUUAUCAAAUAGUCACUGUUUUAAAAUUGAUCAUAGACUACACCUAUGAUUUUGGUUUCACAGUGCAUGCAUCAGAAUCACGGUGAUUCACAAUAGCUUCUGCAAAAUCACGGUGAAUCACCAUGAUUCUUGCAUAUCUACAUGAUACCAAACAUACACUACGUGCCACUUCAAUUGUGUUGUGUGAUGUUAUUGUCCACGUGACACUUAACAUUCCACCUAACACAUUUAAUAGUUUUAGAAAACACCAAAUUGAGAAACGUUUAGUAUUGAAAGAGAUCUAAUUAAAAGCAUGUUACAAAUUUAGUGGUAUACUAAAAAAAUUGUUCAUCCCAAAUUAGAUGAUACUUUUUUCUCACUAACAUACAAUUAAAAAUAAGAAAUAUAUGUAAAUUAACAAAAGUACCUUCCAAGCGAGUUCGAAGCCAAGUGAAUUAGCGACGAAACUAGAAGAAACCCAACCAAGAAAAAUGAAAACAGCUACAAAAGAACCAGCUUUAAUAUCCAAAGCAGCGUAAAAGAGAGCAUAGAAAAGUGUAACAAUGAAACCAAGAUUGAAAACAAAAACAGGGUGUAUAUAAUUAAGGAGUGUUUGGGAAGGAGUGAAAAUAGGAGGUGUGAAAUAAAGAAGAAUAAGAGAAGUUAAAAAGAGUGGCAAAAUAAUGAUUAUAUGAAUUGCUACGUUUAAUGGGUUUGUAUGAUAAGUUCUGUAGAAUGCAAAGUGCUUUUCCAGAUCUAUUAGACCCAUUGUUUUGUCACACGAUGAUGUUUUUUUUUUUGUUUUGUAAUGUGGACAAAAUGAUGAUUAUGUGUUUUUAUAUUGAUUGAUUGGUUGAAUGAGAUUUAGAAUGCUUACUCGUAUUUGGUUUGGUUUUGAUGUUUAUUUUUGGUUAGGUUUGGACAUUUAUUAUAUUUCAAUUAAAUCCUAUUUAUUGAAGGAAAAAACGUAUAUGAGUUAUCUUAUCUUAUUUAUAAUAAAGUCAUUUAUAUUUUUGUCAAAAAAUAAAUAAAAAUAAAGUCAUUUAUAAUGUGUUCAAUUUAAUUUUUUUUGGUCGAGUAGCCUAUUGACUAGAAAUUACACCCUUAAAGUGGAUAAGUGGGAUGACCGGAAUUCGAAUCCUAACCCCUGCAUAUAUAAUGCAAUGUCGCUACCAACUGAAUUAAAUAAUGAGACUUUUAGCUUUACACUUGAUGACAACAAUGGAAAAGUGAAGGUAGAUCACUUUAUAGGUGAGAUGAUGACGAAGUCAAUGUCUUAAAGGUUUGAGUAAAAAUAUGGUAUUCAACUCACGUGUAUGGUUGUUCUUGGUCCAAGGUGGAUGAUCUUCUAGUCUCUGCCUCAUGACCUUGUACUGAAAGUAAUCUUGACCAAAUGUGUUUAAUCAGUGUGUCUGCCGUGGUAACGAUGAUAUAAGUGUAUAUGAGUGAAAAAGUAUCUCCUAAGGGAGAUAUUGUAUUUGAAUAUAAUGACUCAUGUGAGAGGUUGUUGUAUAGCAAGUGUGAUAUUAGAAGUCUCAUGUUGUUUGAAAAAAUGAAGAUCGAACAUUUUAUAAGUGAGAUGACCCAAAAAUAUAAUGUCUUUAACCUAACAGCGGUAUACAAAAGUGGUCAAGCUUCUAACAAAGGUAGCCACAAAAAAUUGUUGGGGCGAGUAUGAUAUGAGUUAAAUGACCUACAAACAUAAUAUCUUCAAAAUUUUUAUAAAUAUUUAAUGUCAUAAUUAUUUGUACAGUUGUUUUUGGCCUAACGUGGAUAAUCCUCCUAACUCUCCUCAUGAUCCUAAUAAUUUUGUGGCAACACAAUCAUCAAUAUAGCUCAUAACAUAAUUCAAUUUGAUCCCUAACAGAACAUAUUGAGAUACACCAACAUCAAAGAGAAAAGUUGGGUAAUGAAUUGAUGACUGUAUUCCUUCUUUUUUUGGUUACAUGACUGUACUGUAUUCCUUCUUAUGUGCAAACAAAGUGUUUACCAACAAAUUGUGCUAACAGUAUUUAUUAUAUGGAGCAAUUUUGUCAAAUUCUGCUAACCUUGAGAUUAGCACACCAAAAGUGACUUUAUUUAUAAGUAGACUCCUCAUGUCAACAUAAAUAAUAAAUUUUGAGGCAACUUUCUGAAUUGGACAUUUGGGCUAACCAAACCCAUUAUAAUGUCUAUUAGGGCCGGUUUAGUGCACAGGAUAAGAGACAUGAUAGGAUAACUGUAUCAUAUCUUGUCUCAAUUCAGUGUUUGGUGACACAGCAUGGUAUGAUAAGUUAAUCCUGAAGCUUAUCCUAUCAUGUUUCUCUAGUUAAAAUCCUUAUCCUGAAUUUGAGCUGGGUUACCAGCAGGAUAGGAUAAGAAAAAAAAUCGUUGAUUUAUUCUAUAAAAUAUAUUUUAAAAUAAAAAACUGAAAAUUAAUAAAAUAAUUUGAUAGUAAAUUAAUAAUAAAAUAAUUUAUAUAUAUAUAUAUANNNNNNNNNNNNNNNNNNNNNNNNNNNNNNNNNNNNNNNNNUUAUUCUGUGUAAAACUAAAUAGUAAAAUAAUAAAAAAUAUAUUGGUAUUACCGGUUCCACCUUCUAUAGCAGGUAUUUUGGUCUCCCACUGGUAGGAGACAUGCCAAGGUCUCCUAUGCUAGAAUUGGCCAUAACAUAAUUCAAUUUGACCCCUAACAGAACAUAUUGAGAUACACCAACAUCAAAGAGAAAUGUUGGGUAAUGAAUUGAUGACUGUAUUCCUUCUUUUUUUGGUUACAUGACUGUACUGUAUUCCUUCUUAUGUGCAAACAAAGUGUUUACCAACAAAUUGUGCUAACAAUAUGUAUUAUAUGGAGCAAUUUUGUCAAAUUCUGCUAACCUUGAGAUUAGCACACCAAAAGUGACUUUAUUUAUAAGUAGACUCCUCAUGUCAACAUAAAUAAUCAAUUUUGAGGCAACUUUCUGAAUUGGACAUUUGGGCUAACCAAACCUAUUAUAAUGUCUAUUAAGGUAUACUUCAUUCUUGACCUCACAUUCAUCUGAAUUAUCUGCCAACUUGAGUUUUUCUUCCCUCAAAAUACUACUAUUAUUGUGUGAUUCUCUAUCCAUCAUGUCGAAAAUCAUUCAUGUUGAGCUUAAGAGCAACAAUAUAAGAGACAUUAAAUUUUAUGGGUCUUUUCACUUAUAAAGUAUUUAACCUAAACUUUUCAAAAUAAUGUGAGACUUAAUUUACCUCACAGUUAUCAUAAUACAUCAUACAUAAUGUUCAUGUUUGUUUGCAACAAUUAUAUUCCUUUAAUUUUUUACUCCACCCAAUUUAUCUCCUAUUUUUCAUCAAAAUAAAAGUUUAAGGUAUAUCAAUGUUAUCAAUGACAAUACAACAAAAUGAUAUAGUCCCACUCUCAUGUAAAUUAUUAUGUUUCUGUUUCCAGAGGAGUGAUCUAUAAUAACAACAACAUUUGUAAACAAUUUUUUCAACCUAAGAACUUUUCUUUUGUUUCUUGUCUUGCCAUUCUUUGAUGUUAGCUUCUAUCCUUGCCUUCACCUUUGUUUGAAAUCCAGGAUAUGGUUCAUAUCCAAUGGUCGAUUGGAGUAUCUACAAAACAAAACAAUAUAGUUUACCUUGUUUCAAUGUUGAAAGAAAUCAGUUCAUAGCAUGAUAACAAAACAAAUUACCUCAAGAAUCACGAAGAAAGGACCCAUUAGAAGAGCUUGAGCAAGGUUGUCCAAUAGAGCCG